RNAcentral lists this long non-coding RNA (859 nucleotides) under Linum usitatissimum (flax). RNAcentral's name for it is "long non-coding RNA (LUSI_LNC006000)". Lineage: Eukaryota; Viridiplantae; Streptophyta; Magnoliopsida; Malpighiales; Linaceae. The record is from RNAcentral.
AGAAACCAUAAUUAAACCGAGAGUCAGACAUUAACUCGAAAUCGGGGUGUCACGGUAGCUUUGUGGUUGCUAAGUGUGCUAGUAUUAUGGUGGAUGUUUAGAAGUACUAUCUGUAUUAUUAUGGAUGUUUAGAAGUAGUAUUUCUAUAGUAUUGUGGAUCCUAAUGGACGUACUGAAUCGUUGUUGUAAUCGUUCUAUUUGAUGCAUGGAUUUCAUCUGUUAUGGGUUGUAUGCAUGGAGAUAAACACAUUCUAUUUACUGAAGUCGAUCCUCAAGGACAACAAUUGCCAACUUCAAUUCUCUAAUCUCACUUUCAAGUUCUUCCUGGCCCUCGUUCAUCGAUGCUAACUUAGCCUUUAGAACAAGUAAUUUGGCUUUCCUUCUAUCUCCUUUCUCUUCAGCAAUUGAAAGUCGUUCUUUGUGAUCGGCCACCAGAUGCUUCAAUUCAUCAUAAGAACACUUCUAGAAACCACAAUCUGUGACCUUGUCCUGCCAAAUUAAGAACACAAACAAAUCGUCAACAACUGUUCAAACCUUAAACCCUAAAAAUUCAAAUAUAUUCAAGAUUACUAGUUACCUUCCACAGCCAACAUCGAUAGAACCUCCGACCUGGGUUCUUCCGAGUGGCAGAAACCUUCAAAAUGGUUUGUGCCUGAACACUUGUCGAUUAGAUCAUGUUGAGGAACAAGAUGGACUCCGACCGUUGUUUCCAUUCAUUUGACAAAGAGAAGAGAUCCUAAAAAAUAGAGAACAUAUGAGAUUGGAGGAAAAUCAAUUAAAUGUUAAUGGAGGAAGAAAUGGCAGGAAGGUAUGAAGCGCAAGGGAAGACGAAGACUUCUAAAAGAGGGACGAAGAUGGA